AUGCACUCAAAAGACACAGAAAAAGAGCCCCAGCAGCGUGGGGAGCAGGGAGCACUGUGGUCCCUGCUGCCUUCCACCUUGCUGCCUCCUUUGCUACUACCUCUGUGGGGCCCUCCGUGUCUGUGCUGUUUGGCCUGCGGCUCCCAGAGGAGCUGCAGAGUGUGGAGCCUAGUGCGGACGGUGCGGGAGCAAGCAUGGUGGGCAAGGCCUCAGGAUGAAUGGGGGCUUGAGUGGGGCGGGCGGCCCUGUCAAUCCUGCUUAGCUGCCUCCGGGAGACCCACAGCUCAUCCUUCUCAUAGUGGAGCAGCUUGGCCUAUUUGACAGCUUCCACCUGGACUGCCUGGCCGACGUGGACACUAAGCCAGCUUACCAGAACCUGAUGCAGAAGGUGGAUAAUUUUGUGUCAGCACACCUGGACAAACAGGAAUGGAAUCCUGCAAUGAACAAGAACCAGUUGCAAAAUGGGCUAAGGCAGAGCAUGGUUCAGUCAGGCAUGUUGGAAGCAGGAGUGGGCAGGAUCAUUUCUCAAGUGGUAGACCCCACUAAACCACAUCUUCAGGCCACAGAUGGAGUGAGCAAUCCAUGAAUUUCUGCCUGCCCAGAAAAAAGAAGCAAUGCCAGCUCCCCCUCCAGAACCUAAAAGCCAGGAUCCUCCAGCACCUUCCCAAGAUGCUUCCUAAGAAUGUGCUUGAUACCUUUGGAAAGCUCUAUUUAACAAAGAAAUGGAUUCCUAUUUCAUAGGAAUAUAACUUUAGUCUGCCAUGUCAUUACUGAUGUCAGGAUUUUGGCC
Arvicanthis niloticus (Nile rat) is the source of this 790-nucleotide non-coding RNA. The record is from RefSeq and is a predicted model, not a curated record. Lineage: Eukaryota; Metazoa; Chordata; Mammalia; Rodentia; Muridae.